AUGGAUUCUGCAGAAGUAGUACCUUCUCCCGUUGAGGAGUACUUGACGAAAGCAGCUCAAGAGUUUCAGGCUGGUUUGUCCAAUGAGAUCACAGAUGUGCGUGAUCUUCCUAGCUGUAGCCAUGAGCAAGUUGAUGAGGACAUGGACUUUGCAAAAGCAGCACCGGCUACCCCCGUUGAGGAGUACUUGAGGAAAGCAGCACAAGAGUUUAGGGUUGAUUUCGACAAAAGAAAAGAGAAAAUGCAUAGGUUCUCUGCAAGCCUGCACGGUCUCGGAAGCUGCUACACCGUGCCAAGGGUUGUGGCCAUCGGCCCUUACCACCAUGCUCACCCCAGCUCCGUCAGAUGGAGAAGGCCUGUGGCCGUGCAAGUGAAGAAGUUAAUUUCAGCGAUGGGAGGUGGUCUCACAAACCGUUUGUACCAUAAUGGACCAGACGAAAUCCUUUCAGAAUUGGAUGAAGAGUAUGCGCCUCCUCAUCUCCUUGGUCUCCUCAGAUUCUACAAAACAACCAACAAUACGAAAAGACAUAUGCCAACGGCCAAGAAGAAGCCUAGUAAAAGAGUCAGUUCAAUGUCAGCAUCUACAAGUGCCAUCGAGCUUGCAGAAAUCGGCAUCAAGCUGAAAGCCAUCAAGACAGGAAGUUUCACAGAAAUCGGAAUCAGGAAAGGACCCCUCUUUGGCGAGCUUUACCUGACUCCACUGGUGCUAAGCAGCACAAGGGCAUGUUGGCUUGUAAACAUGGCGGCUUUUGAGGUAUGCACGACCUCAGGGGAUCUAUAUAAUGAUGAAGAGACGUCCGUCUGCUCGUACUUCGCCCUCCUUUCGAUGCUCAUGGACCGGGAGGAUGAUGUUCACGAGCUACGAAGGAAGCAUCUUGUGCUAGGAGAACUCACAAACAAAGAGAUGCUUGAGUUUUUCAAGAGCCUUACCAAGCUCCUGUCCAUCGGCCCCUCCUACUUCCGUAUCUUGACACGCAUUGAGAACUACAAAGUCAACAGGUGGAUGUGGAUCAAGGUGCACAAGUUCAUCUACAACAACUUUAAAAUCAUUGUCACGGUCUUCACCGUGGUUGGUGUUCCAGUGGGCAUCUUCAAGACGCUCCUCUCUCUCAAGCAACAAUAG
RNAcentral lists this ribosomal RNA (1122 nucleotides) under Triticum aestivum (bread wheat). RNAcentral's name for it is "partial small subunit ribosomal RNA". The record is from RNAcentral. Lineage: Eukaryota; Viridiplantae; Streptophyta; Magnoliopsida; Poales; Poaceae.